UUAAGUUCAGCGGGUCUUCCUACCUGAUCCGAGGUCAACCAUAGAAAAUUGGGGGGUUGUUGGCCAGCAUCCACCGGGACCCUAUAGCGAGAGAAAUUACUACGCUUAGAGCCAGAUGCGCCGCCACUGAUUUAAGGGCUGCCAGUUGGCAGGCCCCAACACCAAGCUGAGCUUGAGGGGUUACUAAUGACGCUCGAACA
RNAcentral lists this unclassified non-coding RNA (200 nucleotides) under Helicodendron sp. Its description in RNAcentral is "partial internal transcribed spacer 2". The record is from RNAcentral. Lineage: Eukaryota; Fungi; Ascomycota; Leotiomycetes; Helotiales; Helotiaceae.